RNAcentral lists this ribosomal RNA (300 nucleotides) under Klebsiella pneumoniae. Its description in RNAcentral is "partial 23S ribosomal RNA". It matches the Rfam family "Bacterial large subunit ribosomal RNA", at positions 1271 to 1574 of the family's 2925-position model. Lineage: Bacteria; Pseudomonadati; Pseudomonadota; Gammaproteobacteria; Enterobacterales; Enterobacteriaceae. The record is from RNAcentral.
UGCUGGAGGUAUCAGAAGUGCGAAUGCUGACAUAAGUAACGAUAAAGCGGGUGAAAAGCCCGCUCGCCGGAAGACCAAGGGUUCCUGUCCAACGUUAAUCGGGGCAGGGUGAGUCGACCCCUAAGGCGAGGCCGAAAGGCGUAGUCGAUGGGAAACAGGUUAAUAUUCCUGUACUUGGUGUUACUGCGAAGGGGGGACGGAGAAGGCUAUGUUAGCCGGGCGACGGUUGUCCCGGUUUAAGCAUGUAGGCUGGUUGUCCAGGCAAAUCCGGAUAAUCAAGGCUGAGGUGUGAUGACGAGG